This 405-nucleotide ribosomal RNA is filed under the name uncultured Bacteroidota bacterium. RNAcentral's name for it is "SSU rRNA". It matches the Rfam family "Bacterial small subunit ribosomal RNA", at positions 242 to 644 of the family's 1533-position model. Lineage: Bacteria; Pseudomonadati; Bacteroidota. The record is from RNAcentral.
CACGUAGUUGGCGGGGUAACGGCCCACCAAGCCUACGAUCAGUAACUGGUGUGAGAGCACGACCAGUCACACGGGCACUGAGACACGGGCCCGACUCCUACGGGAGGCAGCAGUAAGGAAUAUUGGUCAAUGGACGCAAGUCUGAACCAGCCAUGCCGCGUGGAGGAUGAAGGUCCUCUGGAUUGUAAACUUCUUUUAUCUGGGAAGAAACCCACGUUUUCUAAUGUGGUUGACGGUACCAGAUGAAUAAGCACCGGCUAACUCCGUGCCAGCAGCCGCGGUAAUACGGAGGGUGCAAGCGUUAUCCGGAUUCACUGGGUUUAAAGGGUGCGUAGGCGGAUUGGUAAGUCCGUGGUGAAAUCCCCGAGCUUAACUCGGGAACUGCCGUGGAUACUAUCAGUCUUG